Sphingomonas sp. LH128 is the source of this 46-nucleotide non-coding RNA. Lineage: Bacteria; Pseudomonadati; Pseudomonadota; Alphaproteobacteria; Sphingomonadales; Sphingomonadaceae. The record is from Rfam.
ACGGGCACGCGCGGACGCCCGUUCAGACGGCAACGUCCAAGUCCGC